This 402-nucleotide ribosomal RNA is filed under the name uncultured bacterium. RNAcentral's name for it is "bacterial SSU rRNA". It matches the Rfam family "Bacterial small subunit ribosomal RNA", at positions 355 to 774 of the family's 1533-position model. The record is from RNAcentral.
UGGGGGAUAUUGCACAAUGGAGGAAACUCUGAUGCAGCAACGCCGCGUGAGGGAAGAAGGUCUUCGGAUUGUAAACCUUUGUCCUCGGUGACGAUAAUGACGGUAGCCGAGGAGGAAGCUCCGGCUAACUACGUGCCAGCAGCCGCGGUAAUACGUAGGGAGCAAGCGUUUUCCGGAUUUACUGGGUGUAAAGGUUGCGUAGGCGGCAAUGCAAGUCAGAUGUGAAAACUAUGGGCUUAACUCAUAGAUUACAUUUGAAACUGUGUUGCUUGAGUGAAGUAGAGGCAGGCGGAAUUCCCGGUGUAGCGGUGAAAUGCGUAGAGAUCGGGAGGAACACCUGUGUCGAAGGCGGCCUGCUGGGCUUUAACUGACGCUGAGGCACGAAAGCAUGGGUAGCAAACA